Molecule: ribosomal RNA, 253 nt
Filed under: uncultured bacterium
Lineage: Bacteria
Description: partial 16S ribosomal RNA
Rfam family: Bacterial small subunit ribosomal RNA
Source: RNAcentral
UACGGAGGGUGCGAGCGUUGUCCGGAAUCACUGGGCGUAAAGGGUGCGUAGGCGGGUCUUUAAGUCAGGGGUGAAAUCCUGGAGCUCAACUCCAGAACUGCCUUUGAUACUGAGGAUCCUGAGUUCGGGAGAGGUGAGUGGAACUGCGAGUGUAGAGGUGAAAUUCGUAGAUAUUCGCAAGAACACCAGUGGCGAAGGCGGCUCACUGGCCCGAUACUGACGCUGAGGCACGAAAGCGUGGGGAGCAAACAGG